UUUAGUGCUGGUAUGAUCGC
Molecule: ribosomal RNA, 20 nt
Filed under: Camellia sinensis
Lineage: Eukaryota; Viridiplantae; Streptophyta; Magnoliopsida; Ericales; Theaceae
Source: RNAcentral